GAUGAACGCUGGCGGCGUGCCUAAUACAUGCAAGUCGAACGCUUUGUGGUUCAAUUGAUUUGAAGAGCUUGCUCAGAUAUGACGAUGGACAUUGCAAAGAGUGGCGAACGGGUGAGUAACACGUGGGAAACCUACCUCUUAGCAGGGGAUAACAUUUGGAAACAGAUGCUAAUACCGUAUAACAAUGACAACCGCAUGGUUGCUAUUUAAAAGAUGGUUCUGCUAUCACUAAGAGAUGGUCCCGCGGUGCAUUAGCUAGUUGGUAAGGUAAUGGCUUACCAAGGCGAUGAUGCAUAGCCGAGUUGAGAGACUGAUCGGCCACAAUGGGACUGAGACACGGCCCAUACUCCUACGGGAGGCAGCAGUAGGGAAUCUUCCACAAUGGGCGAAAGCCUGAUGGAGCAACGCCGCGUGUGUGAUGAAGGGUUUCGGCUCGUAAAACACUGUUGUAAGAGAAGAAUGACAUUGAGAGUAACUGUUCAAUGUGUGACGGUAUCUUACCAGAAAGGAACGGCUAAAUACGUGCCAGCAGCCGCGGUAAUACGUAUGUUCCAAGCGUUAUCCGGAUUUAUUGGGCGUAAAGCGAGCGCAGACGGUUAUUUAAGUCUGAAGUGAAAGCCCUCAGCUCAACUGAGGAAUUGCUUUGGAAACUGGAUGACUUGAGUGCAGUAGAGGAAAGUGGAACUCCAUGUGUAGCGGUGAAAUGCGUAGAUAUAUGGAAGAACACCAGUGGCGAAGGCGGCUUUCUGGACUGUAACUGACGUUGAGGCUCGAAAGUGUGGGUAGCAAACAGGAUUAGAUACCCUGGUAGUCCACACCGUAAACGAUGAGUGCUAGGUGUUUGAGGGUUUCCGCCCUUAAGUGCCGCAGCUAACGCAUUAAGCACUCCGCCUGGGGAGUACGACCGCAAGGUUGAAACUCAAAGGAAUUGACGGGGACCCGCACAAGCGGUGGAGCAUGUGGUUUAAUUCGAAGCAACGCGAAGAACCUUACCAGGUCUUGACAUCCCUUGACAACUCCAGAGAUGGAGCGUUCCCUUCAGGGACAAGGUGACAGGUGGUGCAUGGUUGUCGUCAGCUCGUGUCGUGAGAUGUUGGGUUAAGUCCCGCAACGAGCGCAACCCUUAUUACUAGUUGCCAGCAUUCAGUUGGGCACUCUAGUGAGACUGCCGGUGACAAACCGGAGGAAGGUGGGGAUGACGUCAAAUCAUCAUGCCCCUUAUGACCUGGGCUACACACGUGCUACAAUGGCGUAUACAACGAGUUGCCAACCCGCGAGGGUGAGCUAAUCUCUUAAAGUACGUCUCAGUUCGGAUUGUAGGCUGCAACUCGCCUACAUGAAGUCGGAAUCGCUAGUAAUCGCGGAUCAGCACGCCGCGGUGAAUACGUUCCCGGGUCUUGUACACACCGCCCGUCACACCAUGAGAGUUUGUAACACCCAAAGCCGGUGGGGUAACCUUCGGGAGCCAGCCGUCUAAGGUGGGACAGAUGAUUAGGGUG
RNAcentral lists this ribosomal RNA (1499 nucleotides) under Weissella confusa. RNAcentral's name for it is "bacterial SSU rRNA". It matches the Rfam family "Bacterial small subunit ribosomal RNA". Lineage: Bacteria; Bacillati; Bacillota; Bacilli; Lactobacillales; Lactobacillaceae. The record is from RNAcentral.